AUUGAACGCUGGCGGAAUGCUUUACACAUGCAAGUCGAACGGCAGCACGGACUUCGGUCUGGUGGCGAGUGGCGAACGGGUGAGUAACAUAUCGGAACGUAUCCAAUAAUGGGGGAUAACGAGUCGAAAGAUUCGCUAAUACCGCAUACGCCCUACGGGGGAAAGCUGGGGACCUUCGGGCCUGGCGUUAAUGGAGCGGCCGAUAUCUGAUUAGAUAGUUGGUGAGGUAAAGGCUCACCAAGGCGACGAUCUGUAGCUGGUCUGAGAGGACGACCAGCCACCCUGAAACUGAGAAAGGGUCCAGACUCCUACUGGAGGCAGCAGUGGUGAAUUUUGGACAAUGGGCGCAAGCCUGAUCCAGCCAUUCCGCGUGAGUGAGGAAGGCCUUCGGGUUGUAAAGCUCCUUCGCAAGGGAAGAAAACUUGGCCACUAACAUUGGUUGAGGUUGACGGUACCUUGAUAAGAAGCACCGGCUAACUACGUGCCAGCCGCCGCCGUAA
RNAcentral lists this ribosomal RNA (500 nucleotides) under uncultured bacterium. Its description in RNAcentral is "partial 16S ribosomal RNA". It matches the Rfam family "Bacterial small subunit ribosomal RNA", at positions 30 to 523 of the family's 1533-position model. The record is from RNAcentral.